Molecule: long non-coding RNA, 294 nt
Organism: Pristis pectinata (smalltooth sawfish)
Lineage: Eukaryota; Metazoa; Chordata; Chondrichthyes; Rhinopristiformes; Pristidae
Exons: 3
Source: RefSeq, a predicted model, not a curated record
GUUCAAUGCUUACCUUUGGUGCCGUCUGUGUGGAGUUUGCACAGUUUCCCUGUGACUGCUUAGUACCUCAAAGAUGUGCAGAAUGGAUACCUCUACUGAGAAAUUAGCACCCAGUUCCUACACCAACUUGGAGUCUAAAAGGAAGAAUGAGACCAUUAAUUUGACUGGCAAAGAGCACUGCAAGAGAGAAGGGACUGGAUUUGUACUUAAUUUCCUGGCCAAGCUAAUCAGCAAGAAACCUGCUCCCAAGUAAUGAUCAAAACUACUUGUCAGCUGCUUUGUCAAAGCAGUGCG